UUGCGAGUUAUAUACAUGUUAUAUGUAAAAAAAAUAUGUAGAUGUGUAUGUAUAUGUAUAUAUAUGUUAUAUAUAUGUUAUAUGUAUAUAUAUGUGUGUGUAUGUCUGUGUGUGUGCAUGGAUACAAGGAUACACGCCCCCCCCGGGACUAUCACCCUUGUUAUGUCAUCACCGCCAUCACCGCCACCAUUAUCAGAUGAGGCCUCUAGGCUAGUUGGCCCAACUCGCGGUCACCCCCCACUCCACCAAGACCUCUAUCCUGGUCGGCGCCGUUGGCGUGCUUGUGUAAAACCUGCACACUUAGUGUCGUUCGCUGGCCGAACCUAGUGCACUGCGACUUCGUGCUAUAUACUACUAGUUGCUUUCCGUUAUUG
Molecule: long non-coding RNA, 374 nt
Filed under: Volvox carteri
Lineage: Eukaryota; Viridiplantae; Chlorophyta; Chlorophyceae; Chlamydomonadales; Volvocaceae
Description: long non-coding RNA (VCAR_LNC003473)
Source: RNAcentral